RNAcentral lists this ribosomal RNA (406 nucleotides) under uncultured bacterium. RNAcentral describes it as "partial 16S ribosomal RNA". It matches the Rfam family "Bacterial small subunit ribosomal RNA", at positions 29 to 526 of the family's 1533-position model. The record is from RNAcentral.
AUUGAACGCUGGCGGCAGGCCUAACACAUGCAAGUCGAACGAGUGGCGGACGGGUGAGUAAUGUCUGGGAAACCGCCCGAUGGAGGGGGGUAACUAGGGGAAACGGUAGCUAAUACCGCAUACCAUCGGAUGUGCCCAGAUGGGAUUAGAGAGUAGGUGGGGUAGCGGCUCACAGAGGCGACGAUCCCUAGCUGGUCUGAGAGGAUGACCAGCCACACUGGAACUGAGACACGGUCCAGACUCCUACGGGAGGCAGCAGUGGGGAAUAUUGCACAAUGGGCGCAAGCCUGAUGCAGCCAUGCCGCGUGUAUGAAGAAGGCCUUCGGGUUGUAAAGUACUUUCAGCGAGGAGGCGUUACUCGCAGAAGAAGCACCGGCUAACUCCGUGCCAGCAGCCGCGGUAAUUC